This is a non-coding RNA of Taeniopygia guttata (zebra finch), 601 nucleotides long. NCBI's taxonomy places the organism in Eukaryota, Metazoa, Chordata, Aves, Passeriformes, Estrildidae. The record is from RefSeq and is a predicted model, not a curated record.
CGCCCGGGGCCGGCUCGGUGGCGGCGCUGGUGCCGCGCAGCGGGCGCGGCCGCGUCCCUGAGGGUCGCGCUGGGCGGUCCCGGUCGCAGCCCCGGUCAUAGGCUCGGUCAUGGGGGACGUGGGGGACACCUCCGCAGCUGGCAGUCAACUGAUACCUAAAAACUUUGAUGCUUAAAAGUCUGCCGGAACUCCUAGUCCAUGUAUGGAUCAUCCCAUAUUCUUGUGUCAGGAGUACAUCACAUCAUCCACAGCUAUAAAGAUAACUUGAACUGAGUAUUUAAUCACAAGAGAUGGCACAAUGGUAAAAAGCUCACUUUGAAAACUACUCCAGUUAUGACAUGGACAUCAUCUGAGAAAGCAGCCACUUGACUUUCUGGAGUUGGUCUGCAUGUGCUGCAGGUACUGGCCACAAUAUGAUUGUCUGACACAUGCCCCAGGAGUCACACAAGGACCUCUGGCACUACAGCUAUGUUUAAUUUUGAGAAAGAAGACUUUCUAAAUUGAACGGAUUAAAUAAUGUAACCUCUGAGCAGGCUAUAUGGAAAGAUGAGGAAAUUAACAUUCAGAGAAGUAGACACUACUGAGAUGUCAUUUUCUAAAC